Scophthalmus maximus (turbot) is the source of this 906-nucleotide long non-coding RNA. RefSeq lists it as uncharacterized. The record is from RefSeq and is a predicted model, not a curated record. The transcript is spliced from 2 exons. Lineage: Eukaryota; Metazoa; Chordata; Actinopteri; Pleuronectiformes; Scophthalmidae.
CUCUGAUUCAGAUCCAGAGGGCUUCCCUCGAACUCAAAGAGCACAGCUAGAUCCCCCAACCACCCCGCCCAAACUGCCCCAUCGGAGAGUACACCAUGUACCUUCACCCGUCUGCAGGAGUCAGAGGGAAAACAUGAAAUGGAUUUUGGUCUACUUCGGGCAAGGGGGGAGACGGUGCAGAAGACUAGACAACUGGUCACGCCUAACACAGGCAGAGCAAAGGAGCUGGGCCUGUCUGUUUUUCUGAGUGACACACAUCCAGGCCAACCAGCUCCUUUGUUCACCGGCUCUGACCGUGUUGUCCUGUCGCGAGGAUCUUCUGCCCUGGAGGAACUAUCUCCCUGAACCCGACGACCCAACAAGUCAUCGGUACCCGGUGUGACUGUGACUGCUGACAUCUUGACAUCACCGCGGACUGGACAAGAACACCGGUGUCUCUGCCCCAGCAGCAGCUCCACGUCGCGGGGCGUGCCCGACACCGGUUACCAAUGAAUUUUGCAAAGGUAAAAUAAUUCAGAGUUAGUUCUGGUGUCUUGUAUUAAUAUCUUUAUAAAUCCUGGUCAAUUAUGUUGUUGAUCAGUAACAGAAUGUUGGAGAGCGCUGGAGGCUGAAGACACACUCCUGAAUGUAAACUGUGUAUUUGUCUGUUUAUUGACCGUUUUGAAACGUUAUCUAUACUUACAGACCCGAGACCUUAUUUAUUAUGAAAAAAGCCAGGAAAUCUCAAUUUUGACAAUAUGGGCCCUUUUAUUAUACAAAAUAAAGUCUCGCUCAUUAAAACAUUCAUGGCUUUGCCAACAUCUCUUUAAGAUUUGACAACAUUUGACAGCAAAAUGUGUCUGGAACACUUCAAUGAUUCAAUAUUCAUAUUUAUACCUGUUCUUAAUAAACUGCUUUAAAACUGUA